Molecule: ribosomal RNA, 484 nt
Filed under: uncultured bacterium
Lineage: Bacteria
Description: partial 16S ribosomal RNA
Rfam family: Bacterial small subunit ribosomal RNA
Source: RNAcentral
AUUGAACGCUGGCGGCAGGCCUAACACAUGCGAGUCGAGCGGAUGAAGGGAGCUUGCUCCUGGAUUCAGCGGCGGACGGGUGAGUAAUGCCUAGGAAUCUGCCUGGUAGUGGGGGAUAACGCCCGGAAACGGGCGCUAAUACCGCAUACGUCCUGAGGGAGAAAGUGGGGGAUCUUCGGACCUCACGCUAUCAGAUGAGCCUAGGUCGGAUUAGCUAGUUGGUGGGGUAAAGGCCUACCAAGGCGACGAUCCGUAACUGGUCUGAGAGGAUGAUCAGUCACACUGGAACUGAGACACGGUCCAGACUCCUACGGGAGGCAGCAGUGGGGAAUAUUGGACAAUGGGCGAAAGCCUGAUCCAGCCAUGCCGCGUGUGUGAAGAAGGUCUUCGGAUUGUAAAGCACUUUAAGUUGGGAGGAAGGGCAGUAAGUUAAUACCUUGCUGUUUUGACGUUACCAACAGAAUAAGCACCGGCUAACUUCGUG